This is a small RNA of Immundisolibacter cernigliae, 288 nucleotides long. It matches the Rfam family "5' ureB small RNA". Lineage: Bacteria; Pseudomonadati; Pseudomonadota; Gammaproteobacteria; Immundisolibacterales; Immundisolibacteraceae. The record is from Rfam.
GUCCUCCACCUGCUGCGGGCAGAUGAAGUGGAUGUGCGCGUCGAUGCCGCCGGCGGUGGCGAUCAGCCCCUCGCCCGCGAUCACCUCGGUGCCGGGGCCGAUGACCAGCGUCACGCCCGGCUGCACGUCCGGGUUGCCGGCCUUGCCGAUGCCGGCGAUGCGCCCGCCCUUGAUGCCGAUAUCGGCCUUGACCACGCCCCAGUGGUCGAGGAUCAGCGCGUUGGUGAUGACGGUGUCGAGCGCGCCGCUGGCGCGGGUAGCCUGGCUCUGGCCCUGGCCGUCGCGGAU